Molecule: small RNA, 125 nt
Filed under: Marmota monax (woodchuck)
Lineage: Eukaryota; Metazoa; Chordata; Mammalia; Rodentia; Sciuridae
Source: RNAcentral
GCCGGGUGCAGUGGCACACACCUGUAAUCCCAGCAACUCAGGAGGCUGAGGCAGGAGAAUUGCAAGCUCAAAGCCAGACUCGGCAAAAGCGAGGCCCUAAGCAGCUCAGUAAGACCCUGUCUCUA